RNAcentral lists this RNase P RNA (506 nucleotides) under Parcubacteria group bacterium GW2011_GWA2_38_13b. RNAcentral's name for it is "RNase P RNA component class A". It matches the Rfam family "Bacterial RNase P class A". Rfam says of the family: Ribonuclease P (RNase P) is a ubiquitous endoribonuclease, found in archaea, bacteria and eukarya as well as chloroplasts and mitochondria. Its best characterised activity is the generation of mature 5'-ends of tRNAs by cleaving the 5'-leader elements of precursor-tRNAs. The record is from RNAcentral.
UCGCUGGGCGGAACGGUUACCCCGCAAUACUGCGGGGAGGAAAGUCCGAACACCCUAAUUGUUCUUAACAAUUAGAAGAAAGUAAUGGAUAACGUCCACCUUGCGAUAAGCGAUUAUCGCAACGGGAUAGUGCCACAGAGACAAUACUAACCAUUGCUCCGCAAUGGUAAAAGGUGAAAAGUGUGGAGAUGUAAUGAGUAAAAUCUGCCUAAAGCAAAUUUUACUCCCAACUGCUUCACUCAACUGUUAGCGAUAACAGUUCGUGGAAAACCCUACUUGGUGCAAGGCCGAGCCCCGCAAUAUUGCGGGGAGUGCCGCUUGAGGUUUGCAGUAAUGCAAAUCCCAGAUAAAUUACCGUUCGCUCCUCACUUUCGUUCGGAGCUGGAAUAAUCACGAAUACACAAAUUAGUAUAUUUGCGUACAUUCGUAUAUUAGCGAUUACUCCAUAGCGACGAGCGGAAGCGAGGAGCGAUAAACAGAAUUCGGCUUACCAGCCCGGCAAAAUC